GGGGCCCGCCCCGAAGGCUGGUUUGGGCCGGGAGGGGCGAGGGGGUGAAAGGGUAUAGAGAAAGCUCUCAGCACCAACCACUUGGAGUACUGCAGGGGCGGGGAGGGCAGCGGAAGGCUCGUCUAGUUAGUACCCCGCGUGGGACCACGUGAUUGGAGAGGUUCGGCCCUAACCCUUUCGAGUCAGGUGUUCGAAUCCCGUCUCCAGAACUGGCGGCGUCCCAUUCCCGUCGGCGCGAGGCGCCAGAGGACCCGCCUUGGGGUUCAUGGCAGCGCCGGUCCGCAUGGGCCGGAAACGCCCGCUGCCGGUUUGCCCCAACCCGCUCUUCAUACGCUGGCUAACCGAAUGGCGGGACGAGGCAGCCAGUAGGGGGCGCCGAACGCAAUUCGUGUUUCAGAAGGCGCUGCGCUCCCUCCGGCGGUACCCACUGCCUCUGCGCAGCGGCAAGGAAGCAAAAAUCUUACAACACUUCGGAGACAGGCUCUGCCGUAUGCUGGAUCAGCGGCUGCAGCAGCACAGAGCAUCAGGCGGUGACCAUGCUCCAAGUUCACCAUCUGGAGAGGAGAGUCCAGCUCCAGAAGGGCCACUUGCCACAGCCCAGGACUCUUCCGUGCCAGUUUCAGCCCAGCCCAAAGCAGGAGGCCGUGGCAGCUACCGGCCCACUCGGCACUCAGGAGCAAGGGCAGUCCUGCUUCUGCUCUACAGGGAACACCUGAAUCCUAGUGGUCAUGGCUUCCUGACCAAGGAGGAGCUUCUGCGGAGGUGUGCCCAGAAAACUCCCAGGGCGGCCCCUGGGAGUGCUCGACCCUGGCCAGCCCUCCGCUCCCUCCUCCACAGGAACCUGGUUCUCAGGACACACCAGCCAGCCAGGUACUCGUUGACCCCUGAGGGUCUGGAGCUGGCCCAGAAGCUGGCUGAGUCAGAGGGCCUGAGCUCACUGAAUGUGGGCCUCGGACCAGAGGAGCCCCCUGGGGCGGAGCCAGAAGAGCCAGGAGCAGCCUCCGCUGAGCUUGGCGCCAGCGAAGGGAGUGCCCAGCAGCUGUCACUGGAGCUCAGGCCUGGAGAGUACAGGGUGCUGUUGUGUGUGGACACCGGUGAAGCCAAGGGGGCCGGGCACAGGCAAGAGCUGCUCCUCGAGCUACAGCGGCUGCGUGUCACCCACACGGUGCGCAAGCUGCACGUUGGGGACUUCGUGUGGGUGGCGCAGGAGACCGAGCCCGGAGACCCAGCGAGACCUGGGGAGCUCGUCCUGGACCACAUCGUGGAGCGCAAGCGGCUGGACGACCUGAACAGCAGCAUCAUGGAUGGCCGCUUCCACGAGCAGAAGUUCCGGCUGAAGCGCUGUGGCCUGGGGCACCGGAUAUACCUAGUGGAGGAGCACUGCUCGGCGAACAACCUCAGCCUUCCGGAGAGCACGCUGCUGCAGGCUGUCACCAACACUCAGGUCAUCGACGGCUUCUUUGUGAAGCGGACGGCGGACAUUAAGGAGUCGGCUGCCUACCUGGCCCUCAUGACGCGGGGCUUACAGAGACUCUACCAGGGCCAUACCCUACGCAGUCGCCCCUGGGGAACCUCCGGGGACCCUGAAUCAAGGCCUGGGCCCUCUCCAGAUCCUCUCUGCUCACUCCUCACCUUCAGUGACUUCAACGCGGGAGCCAUCAAGAACAAGGCCCAGUCAGUGCGCGAGGUGUUCGCCCGACAGCUGAUGCAGGUGUGCGGUGUGAGUGGGGAGAAGGCAGCGGCCAUAGUGGACCGGUACAGCACCCCUGCCAGCCUACUGGCCGCCUAUGACGCCUGUGCCCACCCCCCACCCCCUCCCCCCCAGCCUACUGGCCGCCUAUGAUGCCUGUGCCACCCCCAAGGAACAGGAGUUGCUGCUGAGCACCAUCAAGUGCGGCCAACUGCAGAGGAAUCUGGGACCCGCUCUGAGCAGGACCUUGUCCCAGCUCUACUGCAGCCACGGCCCCCUGACCUGAGCCAUGCCACGAGGCCGACUCCAGCCCCCACCUUCACAGGCUAGCCAGCCUUUUAAUCAGAAUCUUUUGGGCUACGAUAAAAGUAUAACUAUUUGCAGCCUUAUGUAUUAUGAAGGUGGUGCCAGGCCCCAGGGGCCUUGUGAAAUAUCCAGGCAGGAACUGGGGAGACCAGCAGGUCCAGUGAUUUUUAAACUGAGCUCCUUAGGACCCUAGGGCUCCCUGGUGGAGCACUGAGACCACCCGGGAGAUGGAGUAAGCAAGGCACUGCAGCUUGGAAUCUAGUCCUAGGUCAUCAGACUUCCCUGAUCAAAUAAAAUUUCCUUCGAUGAGAGGUUCUGUAGUUUGGAAAAGAAAAGUUUGAAAAGCA
This is an RNA transcript of Neofelis nebulosa (Clouded leopard), 2343 nucleotides long. It is a transcript of the gene named MUS81 structure-specific endonuclease subunit, with no coding region annotated. Lineage: Eukaryota; Metazoa; Chordata; Mammalia; Carnivora; Felidae. The record is from RefSeq and is a predicted model, not a curated record. The transcript is spliced from 16 exons.